AACAUAAUAUUUGAAAGAUAGAAGAGGCAGAAAGGGAGAAAAGAAUAGAGAAGGUGUUUGUAGAAAUAAUGUUAGAAAACUUACCUAACCUGGUAAAAGAAAAAGUCACACAAGUUCAGCAGGCACAGAGAACCCCAAACAAGAACCCAAACAGAACCCAAAUACAUCAUAAUUAAAAUGCCAAAAAUUAAAGACAAAGAGAGAAUUUUAA
Molecule: long non-coding RNA, 211 nt
Organism: Pipistrellus kuhlii (Kuhl's pipistrelle)
Lineage: Eukaryota; Metazoa; Chordata; Mammalia; Chiroptera; Vespertilionidae
Exons: 3
Source: RefSeq, a predicted model, not a curated record